AGGACGAACGCUGGCGGCGUGCUUAACACAUGCAAGUCGAGCGGUAAGGCUCCUUCGGGAGUACACGAGCGGCGAACGGGUGAGUAACACGUGAGCAAUCUGCCCUUCUCUUCGGAAUAACCAUUGGAAACGAUGGCUAAUGCCGAAUACGACCUCCUUUCGCAUGAUCGGAGGUGGAAAGCUCCGGCGGAGAAGGAUGAGCUCGCGGCCUAUCAGCUAGGUUGGCGGGUAACGGCCCACCAAGGCGACGACGGGUAGCCGGCCUGAGAGGGUGACCGGCCACACUGGGACUGAGACACGGCCCAGACUCCUACGGGAGGCAGCAGUGGGGAAUAGUUGGACAAGUGGGACGCAAGCCUGAAUCCAGCCAUACCGCGUGGGUGAAGAAGGCCUUACGGGUGUAAGUCCGUUUUGUUAGGAAAGAAAGACAUUACGGUUAA
RNAcentral lists this ribosomal RNA (440 nucleotides) under uncultured soil bacterium. Its description in RNAcentral is "bacterial SSU rRNA". It matches the Rfam family "Bacterial small subunit ribosomal RNA", at positions 26 to 464 of the family's 1533-position model. The record is from RNAcentral.